UAUGUUAUGUAUUUGCAGUUA
Molecule: non-coding RNA, 21 nt
Organism: Caenorhabditis elegans
Lineage: Eukaryota; Metazoa; Nematoda; Chromadorea; Rhabditida; Rhabditidae
Source: Ensembl